UAAUACCGCAUAGUAUCUGUGGAUUAAAGGUGGCUUUUGGGCUGUCGCAGAUGGAUGAGCCUGCGUUGGAUUAGCUAGUUGGUGGGGUAAGGGCCUACCAAGGCUACGAUCCAUAGCUGAUUUGAGAGGAUGAUCAGCCACAUUGGGACUGAGACACGGCCCAAACUCCUACGGGAGGCAGCAGUGAGGAAUAUUGGACAAUGGGGGCAACCCUGAUCCAGCAAUGCCAUGUGUGUGAAGAAGGCCUUAGGGUUGUAAAGCACUUUAGUUGGGGAAGAAAGCUUUGAGGUUAAUAGCCUUGAGGAAGGACGUUACCCAAAGAAUAAGCACCGGCUAACUCCGUGCCAGCAGCCGCGGUAAUACGGGGGGUGCAAGCGUUAAUCGGAAUUACUGGGCGUAAAGGGUCUGUAGGUGGUUUGUUAAGUCAGAUGUGAAAGCCCAGGGCUCAACCUUGGAACCGCAUUUGAUACUGGCAAACUAGAGUACGGUAGAGGAAUGGGGAAUUUCUGGUGUAGCGGUGAAAUGCGUAGAGAUCAGAAGGAACACCAAUGGCGAAGGCAACAUUCUGGACCGAUACUGACACUGAGGGACGAAAGCGUGGGGAUCAAACAGGAUUAGAUACCCUGGUAGUCCACGCUGUAAACGAUGAGUACUAGCUGUUGGAGUCGGUGUAAAGGCUCUAGUGGCGCAGCUAACGCGAUAAGUACUCCGCCUGGGGACUACGGCCGCAAGGCUAAAACUCAAAGGAAUUGACGGGGACCCGCACAAGCGGUGGAGCAUGUGGUUUAAUUCGAUGCAACGCGAAGAACCUUACCUGGUCUUGACAUCCUGCGAGCUUUCUAGAGAUAGAUUGGUGCCUUCGGGAACGCAGUGACAGGUGCUGCACGGCUGUCGUCAGCUCGUGUUGUGAAAUGUUGGGUUAAGUCCCGCAACGAGCGCAACCCCUAUUGAUAGUUACCAUCAUUAAGUUGGGUACUCUAUUGAGACUGCCGCUGACAAGGCGGAGGAAGGUGGGGACGACGUCAAGUCAUCAUGGCCCUUACGACCAGGGCUACACACGUGCUACAAUGGGUAUUAUAGAGGGCUGCGAAGGAGCGAUCU
This 1101-nucleotide ribosomal RNA is filed under the name Francisella endosymbiont of Dermacentor auratus. RNAcentral's name for it is "bacterial SSU rRNA". It matches the Rfam family "Bacterial small subunit ribosomal RNA", at positions 164 to 1263 of the family's 1533-position model. The record is from RNAcentral. Lineage: Bacteria; Pseudomonadati; Pseudomonadota; Gammaproteobacteria; Thiotrichales; Francisellaceae.